ACAGAGUCUCGCUCUGUUGUCCAGCCUGGAGUGCAGUGGUUGGAUCCCAGCUCACUGCAGCCUCGACCUUCCAGGAUUAAGUGAUCCUCUCACCUCAGCCUCACGAGUAGCUGGGACUACAGGCACGUGCCACCACCUCCAGCUAAUUGUUGGUUGAUGUUGUUUUAUAGAGACAAGGACACCAAGCUUUGACCUCUGAACAGUAAGGACAUAGCACAUGGAGAACACACAGCCCAGCACCGGCGUGGGGGAGGCACUUCAUCAAAACUGCUCACUGCCGCUGUCACCAUGAUCACCAGCGUCAUCAAUGUGGCCCAGAUCCCCUGCUCGGCAGACAGCUCCCCCUUAUCCUUCUGCAGGCUCUGUCCUGCUGCCCCCGGAGCUGGGGGAACUGGAGGCAUGAAACAGACCUCCUCCUCUUUUACCCACUGGCAGAAAGGGACUUGGACAGACUGUCCUUUGGCAGACCUUGUUGGGCUCAAACUGUCCUCUCCUUCCCUUAUCUUUAGGGUAGGCAGGCGCAUGCGUACGCACCCCCCACCCCCAGCUGGGUGCUGUCUUCAGGGCUCAGCCUUCUAGUCCCUGCCGUUUCUGUGCUUCCUCACACACCAUUCUAGAAGACUGGUGCCUCUGAACACAUAUGCCUGGGGCUGUUUUCCAGGAGACCGCACCUGGCUUCCAGGGAUCAUCGAAUUCACUGCUGGAACCAAAUGAAGUGCUGCUGGGGACUUCUGAAGAUCUCAGGAGGACCUUCAAAAAGUCCUGGCACAAUUUUCAAAUUUAACCGCCAGUUGCUAGGAUUUAAUUCCAUUCCACAGAUGGUUGCCAUGCCCCACUCUCCCAGGAAACACAGUCCCCAAGAAGCCUCCAUAAUGCACGGCGUUCAGCACUGACGAUGUGUUUAGCAGCUGUGGCUGUGUCUCAGUUCACCGCUCAUUCUCUGAGCCCUUCCUGCAAGACCUGCCCUGGCCUCAGAACACGGAGGGAAGCAGAGGCUUCCUGUCAAUGGGCCAAUCAGCAGCCGACAGCCUGAUGGGGAGCCUGGACCAAACCUAAAGACAUUCCUAACAUGUUUAUUAAACGCCAGGACCAGAGGAGAAAUCUAGCAAGUUCCAGUGGGGCAGGACAGACGGGAAAUGGCACAAGAACUCAGAAAAGAGGAAGCUCUAUGACUUCCCUUACCCAGAAAUGCCUUCAUGCAACACGUAUAACAGCUAAUUUCAUUAAUACAUGAAGUGCUCUUACAAAUCAAUAAGAAAAAGGCAAAAAAACAAAAUAGGAAAGAGGGGGAAAAGAUAUGAGCAGGCAGUUCACAGAAAAUACAAAAGGUUUCAAACCUGUGAGUGAUGUUCAGUCCUCUAGUAAAAUAAAUAUAAAUCAAAACUAUGAGACAUAAACCAAAACUAGCUUUGGUUAUAUUUGAAAUUUUCCAUAAUAAAAACCUAAAAUUUUUUCAUAAGUUCAAAAGGUUAGCUUUAAGAGACAUAUAAAUAAUUGUCUUAUCUGGGUCUGAUACAAAUAAACUGUAAAUUUUAUUUUAUUUUAUUUUUGUGAGAUGGAGUCUCGCUGUCACCCAGGCUGGAGUGCAGUGGUGCAGUCUUGGCUCACUGCAACCUCCGCCUCCCGGGUUCAAGUGAUUCUUCUGCCUCAGCCUCCCGGGUAGCUAGGACUACAAGUGCACGCCACCAUGCCCGGCUAAUUUUUGUAUUUUUAGUAGAGACGGGGGUUUCACCAUAUUGGCCAGACUAGUCUCGAACUCCUGACCUCGUGAUCUGCCCACCUUGGCCUCCCAAAAUGCUGGAAUUACAGGCGUGAGCCACCACACCCAGCUUUUUUUUUUUUUUUUUUUUUUUUUUAAGAUGGUGUUUUUGCUCUUAUUGCCCAGGCUGCAGUAUGGUGGUGCAAUCUUGGCUCACUGCAACCUCCAACCUCCUGGGUUCAAGCAAUUCUCCUGCCUCAGCCUCCCAAGUAGCUGGCAUUACAGGUAUGCGCCACCAUGCCCAGCUAAUUUUUGUAUUUCUAUUAAAGACAGGGUUUCAGCAUGUUGGCCAGGCUGGUCUCGAACUCCUGACCUCAGGUGAUCCCCCCACCUCGGCCUCCCAAAGUGCUGGGAUUACAGGCUUGAGCCACCUCGCCCAGCCUAAAAUAUUUUUAAAGUAUAAGAUAAUCAGGGAAAUUUGAACACUGAACUUCAGUAACACUAAAAAGUUAUCAUUUGGCCCAGUGCAGUGGCUCGUGCCUAUAAUCCCAACACUUCGGGAGGCUGAGGCAGGAGGAUUGCUUGAGCCCAGGAGUUCAAGACCAGCCUGGGCAAUGUAGUAAGACCCUGUCUCUAAAUAAAAAUAAAUAAACAAAGUUAUUCACUUUUUUAGGUGUGAUGAUAGUAUCAAGAUUAUGUUUUUUAAAAGAGCCCUUAUCUUUUUGCUAUAAAUGCUAAAACAUUUAUGAAAGAAAUGAUCCAACAUCUCAGAUUUCCUUAAAAUAAUCUGAAGGGGGAAGUGGGUGGGGAAAAGAGAAAAAAAAAAACAUGCACAAUAAUUUCCCGUUUUCAUUCACCAGAAAGGCAAAGAAUCAAAAGCAUUCCCACACCUUGAUGGUAGGAGACUGAUUUGGAGUAACUUCUUUGAAGGCUGACUUGCCUUUAUCUGUAUAAAUUUACCAUUUGGCUUGGUAUUUCCACUGCCAGGAGUGUAACAUGCAGAUAAACUCACACUUGUGUUCAGUGACAUACAUCUAUGGAUAUUCACUGCAUCUUUAUUUAUAGUUGCUAAAAAUAAGAAACAACAGAAACAAACGAGGAUCUGGGCUGGUUAACAACUGAAGACACAGCCCCCAAAGGGAGUACCCAGAUAUAUUCAUAACGAUAUGAACAUCAAUCAAUGCCCAAAAUAUAUUAAGUAAAAAAUUAGAAAUCGGGGCCAGGACAAUGUGAAUAACAUUUGAAUUAAAAUAAAACAAUUCUGCCAGGAGCGGUAACUCACACCUGUAAUCCCAGCACUUUGGGAGGCCAAAGCAGGCAGAUCACUUGAGGUCAGGAGCUCAAGACCAGCCUGGCCAACAUGGUGAAACCCCAUCUCUACUAAAAAUACAAAAAAAUUAGCCGGGCAUGGUGGAGGGCGUCUGUAAUCCCAGCUAUUCAGGAGGCUGAGACAGGAGAAUCGCUUGAACCCAGGAGGUGGAGAUUGCAGUCAGUCGAGAUCGCGCCAUUGAACUCCAGGGGUGACAGAGUGAAGCUCCGUCUCAAAAACAAACAAAAACAACAAAGCAGUUCUGGUGCUACAGAUUGUGGGAAAAACAAAACAAAACAAAAGGGUGCUGUGGAUACCAAACAAAAGGGUGCUCCAGAUAGAGGCUUGUAGACACAGCCUCUAUCUGGAAGGAUUCAAAGGAACUCAGAAUCCACGCUUGCCUAGGGGGCCAGGGUAUUGGUGUUCUGGGGCCUGGGGGAUGGAAUAGGAAGGAGAUGUAUGCUCUUUACUCUACAUGAUUUUUUUUACUAUGUGCAUAUUAAUUUUGUUAAAGCUAUUGAUUAGAUCUAUUUUAUUAUUUACAGUCGUGACUCUGUAUGUGCCAGGGAUUGGUUCCCGGGCCCCCUCCACAGCAAAAUCUAUGGCUGCUCAAGUCCCUGAUAUAAAAUGUCAUGGUAUUUGCAUGUAACCUACACACACCCUCCCAUACACUUUAAAUCACCUCUAGAUUACUUAUAAUACCUAAUAAAAUGUAGAUGCUAUAUGAGAAGUUGUUAUACUAUUGUAUAACA
Molecule: long non-coding RNA, 3760 nt
Filed under: Homo sapiens (human)
Lineage: Eukaryota; Metazoa; Chordata; Mammalia; Primates; Hominidae
Description: HSALNT0230397
Source: RNAcentral